RNAcentral lists this ribosomal RNA (400 nucleotides) under uncultured bacterium. RNAcentral describes it as "bacterial SSU rRNA". It matches the Rfam family "Bacterial small subunit ribosomal RNA", at positions 355 to 772 of the family's 1533-position model. The record is from RNAcentral.
UGGGGAAUAUUGGACAAUGGGCGCAAGCCUGAUCCAGCAAUGCCGCGUGAGUGAUGAAGGCCUUAGGGUUGUAAAGCUCUUUUACCCGGGAUGAUAAUGACAGUACCGGGAGAAUAAGCCCCGGCUAACUCCGUGCCAGCAGCCGCGGUAAUACGGAGGGGGCUAGCGUUGUUCGGAAAUACUGGGCGUAAAGCGUACGUAGGCGGCUUGGCAAGUCAGGGGUGAAAUCCCGGAGCUCAACUCCGGAACUGCCCUUGAAACUGCCUGGCUAGAAUCUUGGAGAGGUCAGUGGAAUUCCGAGUGUAGAGGUGAAAUUCGUAGAUAUUCGGAAGAACACCAGUGGCGAAGGCGACUGACUGGACAAGUAUUGACGCUGAGGUACGAAAGCGUGGGGAGCAAA